CUUUAUUGAAAACUGAGGAUCUCUGCUGUAACGUGACACUUCCUACGGCUCCCAUAGGCUCUCAGAAGGCGGCAGAACGGGGAAUGAUGACUCUGCAGCCCAUUGCUGAAAAACAGUAGCGCAUUUGGAUAGUGGUCAAUCUGAGAACAAUGAGACUGGGGGCGCGUGCACGAGUAGACUCCAUGUUUUUAUUUUUUCGUCUUUGAACGAAAACAGGGUUUCCCGGUCGGAAUAUUAUCGCUUUUUUUACGAGAAAAAUCGCAUAAAAAUUUAUUUUAAACAGCUUUUGACAUGCUUCGAAGUACGGUAAUGGAAUAUUUUGAAUUUUUUUGUCACGAAACGCGUCGGGCGCAUCACCCUUCGUCACCCUUCGGAUAGUGUCUUGAACGCACAACAAAACGCCGCUAUUUGGAUAUAACUAUGGAUUAUUUGGAACCAAACCAACAUUUGUUAUUGAAGUAGAAGUCCUGGGAGUGCAUUCUGACGAAGAACAGCAGAGGUUGCCAUGGGGUGUUGGUGGUGCUGGCUACUGGUAACCUUGCUAUGGGUUUCCACGAUAACAAACCCAUGCCUUGGCCAGAGUGGUGACAGUAGCGACUGGGGCUCGGGCUUCGAUGUCUCCAUGACGACCCUCAGCAGCAACAAGAACACGUCCUCCUCCCAGGAGCCAGGAGAUUACCCUGCGGGUUCAGAAACAGAGACAAGAGAAUCCUGGGUAAAAAUACUUCCACCUAAGCCAGUGUUCCACUACAAGCCGGAGCCAGAUGAGUGCUCUGUCCACUUCAGCACCAGUCAGGCUUCCGCCAGGCGCCUCAAGGCCCAGAGAGAAGAGUUGGCCUACCUGAAGGCUAUACAGCAUGGGAACCAGGCGGUGGUGGAGAACCUAGUCCAGUACAUAGGAGCAGAGCUGGGGGAUGAGCAGCGCUACGAGGACGUCAUCGAGGAAAACAUAGUGGGCAUCAGGGAGGAGCAGCAGAGCUGUAACGGUGUGGUCCAGAAGGUGAUGGAGGAUCUGGAGGGACAGCUGGAAGGAGAUGUACUGGAGGCUCUGACUGGGAUACGGAAACAUUCACAACCCUACUGUGUCCUCAUCAGAACCAAGAUGUGGCCUGGAAUCAAAGAGGAGUCCCUAACGUUUGAGGGCCUCUUCCAGGCAGCAGCAGACAUCGCCAAGGGGCUGGAUACCUUGUCUCAGACCCUCCACGCCUCCUUCACCAAACAGCUCAAAGACUCUCUCAAAACUUUACAUCGCUAAAGAGACUUACUAUCCUCCAUCGCUAAGGAGAUUGUCUGGUCUCAGAUCUGUUUGUGCGGUCUCUCCAGUUCCUAUGGUCCUUGCUAUCACUCUUUUGUAGCCUGGUCUCAGAUCUGUUUGUGCUGUCUCUCCAGUUCCUAUGGUCUUUGCUGUGACUAUUUUGUAGCCUGGUCUCAGAUCUGUUUGUGCAAGAGAGCACAAACAGCUAUUGGACCAGGCAACUAAGGCCUAGAUUAAAUUAGAUCAAGUGUAAAGCGGCAAUAGCCGACACCCACAUAGCUGAUGUUUUGGCGGUGUCGGAGGUGUAACUACUCAUAAAUCGGUGAGCAGCAGCUCAUGUGAUCAUUGUCAUGAAGUUCAGAACAAUAAAGUAUAGGCUAUAUAGAAAUAAUUACACUGAAACUAAAAAAAUCAUUCAAUUAUGUCAUGAAGAUUUAUAUUAGACUAACCGAGGUGUAGAUUAGAUCUCAAACUCCAAUGUUCGAAAUUUCCCUUAAUGUGACUCUGUGCAGCCAAUUGCAAUGUCCACUUUAGGUAUAAAUCUGGGAGCCGCUUGUGGAUUUGACAGUUCUAAUGCAUUCCACCUCUGCCGCCGCCAAAACAACCGCUAUGAGGAUGUCUGCUAGCGCAGAUCUGAUAGAAUCUAUCCCUAAGAAGAACUCUCUCCUCUUCUUCUCUCCAUCCUACUCUACUUCCCUCCCUCCUACUCUUCUUCUGCCCCUCCUACUAUUCUUCUCUCCCUCCUACUUCCCUCCUACUCUUCUUCAAUCCCUCCUACUCUUCUUCACUCCCUCCUACUCUUCUUCUCCCCCUCCUACUCCUCUUCUCUCCCUCCUACUCUUCAUUCCUCUUACACUUCUUCUCUCCCUCCUACUUUUCUUCCCUCCCUUCUACUCUUCUUCUCCCCCUCCUACUCUUCUUCUCUCCCUCCUACUUCCCUCCUACUCUUCUUCUCUCCCUACUACUCUUCUUCUCGCCCUCCUACCCUUCUUCCCCCUCCUACUUCCCUCCUACUCUUCUUCUCUCCCUACUACUCAUCUUCUCACCCUCCUACUCUUCUUCCCUCCUACACUUCUUCCCUCCCUCCUACUCUUCUUCCCUUCUACUCUUCUUCUCUCCCUCCUACUCUUCUUCGCUCCCUUCUACUCUUCUUCUCCCCUCCUACUCUUCUCUCCCUCCUACUUCCCUCCUAAUCUUCUUCUCUCCCUCCUACUUUUCUUCCCCCCUCCUACUUCUCUCCUACUCAUCUUCCCUCCCUCCUACUCUUCUUCCCUCCCUCCUACUCUUCUUCUCUCCCUCCUACUCUUCUUCCCUCCCUCCUACUCUUCUUCUCUCCCUCCUACUCUUCUUCUCUCCCUCCUUCUCUUCUUCUCUCCCUACUACUCUUCUUCCCUCCCUCCUACUCUUCUUCUCUCCCUCCUACUCUUCUUCCCUCCCUCCAACUAUUCUUCCCUCCCUCCUUCGCUUCUCCUUCCCUCCUUCAGGCUACUACAACCUUCAACAUCUGUGUCUCUUGUCAAAACCUAAAUCUCUCUGGUCUGAACCUAGAGAUGUGUAGUGCUCUACUAAACAGAUGCUCUGACAGGAAUGUUCUUUCUGCUCAGUGUACUUUAAGUGAACCGUGAGAGGGCUGACAGAGCUAUGGAAUAAUUGGUAGAGGAUUUAUGCUGAGAUUUUGGACCACAGAUUUGUAAUGAACAGUCACUGUACUGUACUGUACCGUAGCUGUUUAAUACAGUAGCACUCACGUGUGACCAAAUGCUAUCAUAGACAAAACGCCAAGUCAGUACUUUUUCUGUUUACAAUUAUUCCAAAAAACAUUAAGUUGUUCAUACUGAGCAGUUCAGCAUAUAAUUAUAUCAUAGUAUGUAAUGUAUUUCAAACCAGAUUUUCCAUCCAGUAAAUUGCUAUUAUUACUGGAAUUUUAUGCCAGUUGGAAGUUUUGAAACAAAAUAUAUUUGUUUACGUCCCAAACUGCACUUUAUUCCCUGCAUGGUGCACUACUGUUGACCAAAGCCCUAUGGGCCCUGUUCAGAAGGGCACUAUAUCAGGAAAAGGGUGGGAUUUGUGACACAAACUCUAUUUCAGUCAUAGUAGUACGGGCAGCUCUGGUUAGCCUUAGUAUUAUGGUACAUCUGUAUUGGUCUCUCUAGGUACCAGGGUAGUAUGGUCUGUCUGUAUUGGUCUCUCUAGGUACCAGGGUAGUAUGGUCUGUCUGUAUUGGUCUCUCUAGGUACCAGGGUAGUAUGGUCUGUCUGUAUUGGUCUGUCUAGGUACCAGGGUAGUAUGGUCUGUCUGUAUUGGUCUGUCUAGGUACCAGGGUAGUAUGGUCUGUCUGUAUUGGUCUCUCUAGGUACCAGGGUAGUAUGGUCUGUCUGUAUUGGUCUGUCUAGGUACCAGGGUAGUAUGGUCUGUCUGUAUUGGUCUCUCUAGGUACCAGGGUAGUAUGGUCUGUCUGUAUUGGUCUGUCUAGGUACCAGGGUAAGGGUGGAGACCAGGAUAAGUUCAGGGCAGACGCUUGAAGGGAGGUUCUCCUCUCUUGUUCUAUGAAAGCAGAAGCCUGGAAUACACCCUGAUCUGUUGUUUUAUCAGUGAAAAUACACAAGUGUAAUUAGAGUGAUAUUCAGCUCAAAUAUCAGCUCAAAUUCCAGGUUUGAAAACCAAAGUGUUCAUUUGCAAAUAAAGGGAAUUGUGUACAAGUGCAAUGGGACUUUAUCUAGCUGGGUUAUAUUUGAAAGGGUAUGUUAUGCUGUGAGGAAAAUAUGUUUUUCAGAGACAUUUAUAUUGUAUGCAGUGAGUUGGUGAGGAAAGGGGCAGCCAGGCGUGGGGUGAUUGUGACUUUGACCCCCAUUCCUUGUCAGAGUUCAAACGACAACCCAAUGCUGUUGAAUGGGUUGGAAACAUAGGCUACAUCCUAAAUGGCAGCCUAGUCCCUAUAUAGUGCACUACUUUAGAGCAGAGCCCUAUGGCAUCCUAUUCCUUAUAUAUAGUGCACUACUUUAGACAGAGCCCUUUGGCACCCUAUUCCCUAUAUAGUGCACUACUUUAGACCAGCGCUCUAUGGCACCCUAUUCCCUAUAUAGUGCACUACUUUAGACCAGAGCCCUAUAGCACCCUAUUCCCUAUAUAGUGCACUACUUUGGACCAGGACCCAAGUAUAGAGUGUCAUUUGGUAUGCAACUACACACAGCCCUAAUCUGAAGUAUACAAAACCAAUUAGGCUUUAUAUAGAUGGGUUCCACUGGGAUAAUGUUGUGUAUGGUUACAGCGGGUAAUGUUGUGUAUGGUUACAAGGGGUAAUGUUGUGUAUGGUUACAGGGGGUAAUGCUGUGUAUGGUUACAGUGGGUAAUGUUGUGUAUGGUUACAGGGGGUAAUGUUGUGUAUGGUUACAAGGGGUAAUGUUGUAUGGUUACAGGGGGUAAUGUCGUGUAUUGUUACAGGGGGUAAUGCUGUGUAUGGUUACAGUGGGUAAUGUAGUGUAUGGUUACAGGGGGUAAUGUUGUGUAUGGUUACAAGGGGUAAUGUUGUAUGGUUACAGGGGGUAAUGUCGUGUAUUGUUACAGGGGGUAAUGCUGUGUAUGGUCACAGCGGGUAAUGUAGUGUAUGGUUACAGGGAGUAAUGUUGUGUAUGAUUACAAGGGGUAAUGUUGUGUAUGGUUACAGGGAGUAAUGCUGUGUAUGGUCACAGCGGGUAAUGUAGUGUAUGGUUACAGCGGGUAAUGUAGUGUAAGGUUAUCAGGGAUACUGUUGUGUAUGGUUAAAGGGGGUAAGGACGUGUAUGGUUACAGGGAGUAAUGUUGUAUGGCUACAGGGGGUAAUGUUGUAUGGUUACAGUGGGUAAUGUUGUAUGGUUACAGGGGGUAAUGUUGUAUGGUUACAAGGGGUAAUGUUGUAAAGGAAACAUAGUACUACCAUGAGUUGGUGGGGAGGCCAUGGUGGUUAUUGCGUGAGUUACUUUGACCCCCGUCCCUUUAAGAGAUCAAACAACGACAUGAGAUAAUUCAUCUCCUAGUCCAAUUCAGUGGGAGUUCCAACUUUACUCUAUAUCAGUUUCUGUUCUGUCCCUAGUUCUCUUUCUGUCGUAGAAAGACGUACUUGUUGUUGCAGUCUUUUAUGGGCGAUGCCACCACCCUUUCUUUUUUAGGACCGUAUGUUUUUAAUGUUGUAAUUAUGAAACGAUAAAGACAAAACAUGUUAUGUCAAAAUGUAGUAUACUUAUAAAAAAAUGUUUAACUAAAAUGUAAUCUAUGUAAUCCCCAAAGGGCCAUAAAUAUUAACUAGUGAUGCUACAUAUUCACAGAAAGGUUCAAAUCUCACCUUUCUGGUAAAAAAAUAGUUGUAAAUUGCUGAGGUGUAGUCACUUUAAGACACAAGCUCAAGUAUACAGUACAAAUAUGAUACAUAUUUUAUAUUACGUAAUUCCUUUUCAACAAAACUGUAUGAAUAAGUCUUGAAAUGACUUAUAUGCUUUCUAAAUAUAUUAUAAUCAAAUUAUAAAACCUCUAAGUAUAAGAUAGUACCUUCCUUAUAACUGUAAAAUACAUAUUUGUAUGUUUAGUGUUAGAGAAAAUGUGCACAUUUUCUAAAAGUAUUUUCUUUUGUUUAAAACAAGCUCUAGCUUGGCCUUCCUGAACUCGUUAGUAACUCGCCUUUCAUCUCACAUUCAUAUGACAAAUCUGUGAAAAAACAACGUUGUUUUUUUUGUUGUUUAAAAUCUAUGAAUUAUUUUAGAUGAAUGGCUGUAAAUCAAUCUCUGAUGAAACCACUCUCUACUGCUGUGCUACGAUGUCAGGAUUUCAGUCAUGUGUUUUGUCAGUUGCUGUGACGUAAGGUUCAGCCAGGAGGUGAUGGACAGUCGGAAGAGUGAAUGAAGGACAUCCCAGUGUCAAGUGGUUUCAGAUUUCACAUCCUACAUUGCACAGGCUCAGAAAAUAUACUACUGUGUCCGUGGGAACAAGGACUGUCGUUCACAGCAAGCCAUUUCCAUAUACGUUGUCUACAUAUCGAUUUAUAAGUGAAAAUGUUGGUUGGAACCGGUACCAGAACAACACAGGUCCCCCAAACAGGGGACUUUACAUCAGUAUAGGCCAUAGGUUUACAUUACAGUGUUGUUUUAUUUAAUCCAGAUGAAAAUAAAGUUGUACCUAAAAUACGUU
RNAcentral lists this long non-coding RNA (6412 nucleotides) under Salmo salar (Atlantic salmon). Its description in RNAcentral is "lncRNA (ENSSSAG00000091119.1, ENSSSAG00000113262.1)". The record is from RNAcentral. Lineage: Eukaryota; Metazoa; Chordata; Actinopteri; Salmoniformes; Salmonidae.